RNAcentral lists this long non-coding RNA (1251 nucleotides) under Homo sapiens (human). Its description in RNAcentral is "long intergenic non-protein coding RNA 2318". The record is from RNAcentral. Lineage: Eukaryota; Metazoa; Chordata; Mammalia; Primates; Hominidae.
ACCAGCUGAAAGUUUCUAGACGAAGGGCAUAUACCAGUUAAACUCCGCCAUUUUGCCUCUCAGUGUUCAAGCUUGAGCCCACGCAUCCAACUCCUGAGAUCUUACUGGGAAGCUGCUGAUCAUCAGUUUCAGGUGAAGUCAGCAUGGAUCAGCCUUACGUUCAUGGCCUCCAGGCCCUAUUCUCCUGCCUCACAGGGACCGGCCAGGAUCUCUAUCCUUACAGCACGUUGGAAUGUAUAUGCUCCUCUCCCCACAUCGCCUUAGGGAGCAGGCAGGUGUCAGGGGCAGCACAAGGACGGCCAACAGGACAGAAGACGGGUUGAAGAUCCGAGAGGCUGAGUCACUUCCACAAAGUAACACAGCUGAUUUUAAAUGCCUGCAUUCAGCAUCCCUGCAGCAGGCUCCAGGUGGAAUUCUAAUGGGACCAGCCUCCAGUCCCUGGACCUUAGCCGUGGAAGGAGAGAAGAGGACAUCUGCACCUCCUCUCAGAGAAAGCCUGAUGCCUACUAAAGGACUUGGGUGGUGGACGCAGUGACCCUCAGUCUGGAGCUUGUUCACUGAACAUUGGAGACUAUCAUUUGCGCAGAUGGUCUUGGGCCUCUAUGAGCAGCAGGCUGCACCCCACAGUGACCUCCUCAUUCUACUCUGAGGCAUCUUCAUGAAAGCAGAUGUCCAUUGAAAAGCACCCAAGUGCAGUCUCAGCUGAUGAACUUCAGAGGCGAUUGAGACAAAGGCUCUCGGUCCCCUCUGCCCUUGGAUGGUGCCUCUGGUAUGCACUUGGCCUCUGUGUCUUUAUUUAGACUGGUCACUUCACAACCCAUCAUGUCACCCCACCCCUAACCGUGCCCACUCUGGGUCCUCCCCUCAACUGCCUGACUUCCCACUUUGAGCUCAGCAAAGGCAAUAGAUGUUUUGUCUGCUUCGAUACCCUAAAUGCAUGGCGUGGAAGCUGGCACACAGUGGGCCCUUGAAAUUUGGGAGUGAAUAUGUAUAUAUAUUAUAUUCCAACCUCAACUUUCCUCACUGCUCCUCAUAGUAGGAAUGGAUUGUAAAACUUCCCAGAAUGUUCAAGAGGAGAAAGGAGAGAAAACAGCCUGGAAUUUGAGCUAAGGGGCCCACAGCCCAGCCACCAAGCCAUCUGUAAAAUGGGGUGGGAAUAUGACAUGAGCCACAGGGGUGCUAUGAGGGUUAAUGAGGUCACCGUGCGAUGUACCAUGCCAACAUGAAUAACCAGACCUCUUGAUAUCAUCA